UGAGGAGCCAGGGACUGGCUGAACUGUCUAUUGACCCAAGCUGCAGGCCAGCCCACUUAGAAAUUAGUGGUGUCUUAGAAAAGAAAAGAAAAAAAAAAACCUUGAAGAAUGAUAUAUUUAAAGUUUUGCAGAGAAAAUCUGGCAAUAAAUAGUACUACACAUGAUAAGACUGUCUUUCAGAAAGAAUGGUAAGGAGAAUUCUUUCCUAGACAAAUACAAGAUAUAGGCAUUCAAAAAACUACAACUCAAAAAUCUCUAAUAAAGAAAUUGUGUUACAUAAAUAAGUAACUUAAAUUUCUUCAGUAAUUUCAGAGACAAAGUAUUAUCUUGUAUAAAUUAAUAAUUCUCAUAAAAAUUCAGAGACAACGUAUUAAAAACCAGUAUUGCUGGCUAUAAUAAUGGACAUCCACUAUGGAGGCUCUGAGAGGCACAGAUUGUGAGUGGAGAAACUGAGGCCUGGUGUCCUUGUGGUGUGUUAUUAACUUAACUAGACUGGACUGUGGAUGCUGUAAAUUACACAGGCCCCAGAGUAAGCAGGAACCAUGUAGUGGAUACACAAAGGGUAGGGACAGAGGAGUCAAAGCGCAUCACUGUCGGCGAGUGACUGUGUCGUAGAGGCCAGAACAAGAGGAGGAAAGCAAAAGGGCCAACAUAACGCAAUGAAAGAUGGCAGUAAGUCAAUGGAUUCAGUUCUGUAAUCAUGUCCAGUUAUAGAGUUGCUGUAUGGAUUCCCCAGAACAAAACCCCACUCCAGCAGCUCUGCCUUAGCCACACAGCCCAAGAGACCAGUGGAUGCCCUGAAACCACUGGGGUGCUAAACCUGAUUUUCUUUUAUACAUGUGAGUUUAUGAUAGUUCAAUUUAUAAGGUAGGUAUAGGAAAUUAAUAGUAAUAGCUAUAAUAGAAUAACUAUAAUUAUGCUGUAAUAAAAGUUCUGACUAAUAGCCUGAACUUACAGAACUAUAAUUUACCAUAAUAAAGUUCUGUGUAUGUGGAUUUCUUCCAAGGACCUCAGGGUGUACUCCUCUUCUCGUGCCGAGGUGUGACCUGGUACCUCCGUGAUGAGAUGGAGCGAAGUGAAACAUGGCUGUUGUGUUGCUGUGGCAGGUGCUGAUGGCCUUGGAUAUAUGUCAUAAGGAUUGUGCACUUCAGAUGAUCCUGGCUACUCAGUCAUGAUGAUCUAGGUGGUGGGUGUUGAGUUGAGUCAGUUGCGGAUAAUUGAGGCAGCAGAAAGUCAAACUGGAGCUAAGGAAAGACCGCUGUCGGUGCUGCCUACCAGACAUGGAUCUUAGCCAGAUACCCCUCUGAAAAUGAAUGGGUAGCAAAAGAAGUACCACGCAAAGUAGCAACCAAAGGUUAGGUCAGACAAAUGAGAGUUUAUGUCGCAAACUCAUGAGGUGCACAGGUCAUGUAUAAUAACAGGAAGUUGGUAAGCCUUUAUCCAUGGAGUAGUUGUAAAUAUACACUCCCUAGCCUACCUAUGUACAUGAAGCAGAUAUUAGAACUGAGGGAAGAAAUAUUUAGCAAUAUAUAUACAAUAGUAGGAGAGCUCGGCUCUCUAUUUUCAAUAAUAGAUCAUUGAGACAGAAAAUCAAUAAAGGAACAACAGGCGUGGACAGCCAUGUCAGCCCAGCAGAUCUCAGCGACGAGUCUGGAAGAGCCUGUCCAGCAGCAGGUGCACAGUGCACAUGAAGCAUCUCCAGAUCAGAUAAUGUAUUCUGCCAUAAAACAAGAAUUGACACUUUUAAGAAACCAUCUUCUUUACCACAAUGAUGCAAAUGCAGAAAUACCUGUGAUGAGAGGCAGACUGUAAAAUGCAUAUAUACUGGAAUUUCAGAAUGCCUCAAAAAUUAGUUUCUUAAAAAAUGAAAUAAAAAGGAACUAAAAACAUUUAGAGAAAUGAAAAUGGAAACAAUGGUGCCAGAACUUUUGAGGUUCAGCUAAAGCGCCUCGCAGAGGGGGGUUCAUAAUAACGGGUGCUCAGGACAAGCUGGGAGACCACACAUAAACAACCUGAGUUAAUAUCUCAAGACUCCAGGAGAAAAGGAAAAAACAAAUUUCAAGCUAGUAGAAAGAAGGAAGGAGCAAAGAACAGAGGAGAAAGAAGUGAAAUGGACACCAGAAGGAAGAUAGGAAGCGUGUGCAAAGCUAAGAUUUCAGUCAUUUGAAAAGUUCAGCAAAAUUAACAAGUGUUUAUUUAGCUGGACU
RNAcentral lists this long non-coding RNA (2207 nucleotides) under Mus musculus (house mouse). Its description in RNAcentral is "long non-coding RNA chr8:91450305-91452512". Lineage: Eukaryota; Metazoa; Chordata; Mammalia; Rodentia; Muridae. The record is from RNAcentral.